Non-coding RNA from Nemania abortiva, 96 nucleotides. NCBI's taxonomy places the organism in Eukaryota, Fungi, Ascomycota, Sordariomycetes, Xylariales, Xylariaceae. The record is from the annotation of a GenBank genome assembly.
UCCUCGGUGGCGCAAUUGGCUAGCGCGUCUGACUGUUAAACUUCCAAUGAGUUGCAGUUAAUCAGGAGGUUGAAAGUUCGAGCCUUUCCCGGGGAG